GGGCCCGCACAAGCGGAGGAACAUGUGGUUUAAUUCGAUGAUACGCGAGGAACCUUACCUGGGCUUAAAUGGAGACUGACGCACUUUGAAAGGAGUGUUUCUUCGGACAGUUUCCAAGGUGCUGCAUGGUUGUCGUCAGCUCGUGCCGUGAGGUGUCGGGUUAAGUCCCAUAACGAGCGCAACCCUUACCGUUAGUUACCAUCAGGUCAAGCUGGGGACUCUAACGGGACUGCCACCGUAAGGUGCGAGGAAGGCGGGGAUGACGUCAAAUCAGCACGGCCCUUAUGUCCAGGGCUACACACGUGUUACAAUGGCCGGUACAAAGGGCAGCUACUCCGCAAGGAGAUGCUAAUCCGCAAAAGCCGGUCUCAGUUCGGAUCGAAGUCUGCAACCCGACUUCGUGAAGCUGGAUUCGCUAGUAAUCGCGCAUCAGCCAUGGCGCGGUGAAUACGUUCCCGGGCCUU
RNAcentral lists this ribosomal RNA (464 nucleotides) under uncultured bacterium. RNAcentral describes it as "bacterial SSU rRNA". It matches the Rfam family "Bacterial small subunit ribosomal RNA", at positions 917 to 1382 of the family's 1533-position model. The record is from RNAcentral.